Molecule: long non-coding RNA, 3464 nt
Organism: Humulus lupulus (European hop)
Lineage: Eukaryota; Viridiplantae; Streptophyta; Magnoliopsida; Rosales; Cannabaceae
Exons: 9
Source: RefSeq, a predicted model, not a curated record
AAUUAACCAACCCUCGUCGUGUCUCUUCUCUCUCCCAUUCCCUCUUUGUUCUCUCAUUCACUCUCUCCUCUCCUCUCCUCAUUCCCUCUCUUCCCUCUUUCAUUCGCAGAAGCUCAUUUUUGAAGAUAAACUCUUCUCUACAGCGGGUGGGCACACUUGGACAAAAAUAAGGUAAGUAACUUUUGUCCUUCGAUCAUCAUCAUCAAUGUCAUGUUCUUUUGUUUUAAAUUUUUAUUUUCUCGUUUCAUGAUUAGUAAAGUAGGUAUUUUUUCAUGAGUUAUUGCCAAAGUUAGGGCUUUUAAGUUCAUUAUAUAAUAAAUAAUUUAUAAAAGUAGUUUGAUUUGUUAAUUUAAUUUUUUUUGUGAGUGUGGUUCCUCAAGCACCAUUUCCAGUUUAAAGUUUAAAGUUUCGUGAGGAAAAGAGAUCACUGUUAAGGUGAAAGGAGGUUCAUCAAAAAUCAAGCUCAAGUAAUAAUUUGUUAAGAUGUCAUCAAGAAAAAGGAAGGUUGGAGAUUCUGGGCAGACCAAUGUCAAGCAAACAAAGGCAAGUGACAAGGGUAAAGGAAAAAUUCCAUCUGAACCUGAGGAUGAUGUAGAUGAGAAGGUGUCUGUUGAGGCACUGAGGCACUGAUUAGACGGCUGGUAAAGCAAACACCGAAGAAAGAAAGUGGUGAAGCCAGUAAAAGUAACCCCAUUAAAGAGUGCACCAUGCAAGAUGAGGAGAAAUGUACGGCACAGUUGGUUGGCGUUGUGAAGUGGAGAAAUUAGUGAAGCUCGUGAGGAGUAUGACUCCAUAACAGAAGCAAGUUAUUAGGGACAUUGGAUUUGGUUCCCUAACUUUUACAGAUGUCCCUAGUGUCAGGGGUGGGCUGAUAUGGUACUUGUACAACAAUAUAGACAUUGACAAUUUCAAACUCAAGUUUGAUGGAGUCAGAUACCCUAUAAUAGUGGAGGCAUUCGAAGGAAUUAUAGGAAUAAAAGAUUAGGACCAGGAGAUAUACUUUGACCCUAUCAUUGAUGAUGAACACAACAUUUAUGAGGAAAUACACACUAAUAAGCUGACUGGAUACCAAGACUUGAUGGAAAAAGCCAUCGAAUUUGAUCAUGCUGACAUAUAUUUCGUUGCAAGAUUUAUGCUCAUUGUGAUGGACACAUUUUUUUGUACCCACUUUUGGAACCUUUGUUCAGAAGGAAUACGUAAAUGUACACCAAGAUAUUGACAAAACUAAGAAAGCUAAACUAGGCCUCUUUCGUUGUACAAUUCCUCCAAAAUUGUGUUAUAGGCCUCCGUGGCCAUGAGAAGAAGGCUGUCCAGAACGAGAACAGAAAGAGUUAUCACUACCUCCCAGGAUGCACCUUUUUUCUUCAGGACAUAAUUUCUCAACCAUUAGCAUGUUUUUCUUUAUGAAAUUUGGUGUUGCUUUUUACUUAACUCACUAUUUUUUUUUUUGUAUUUGUUCUAUUGGAAUCAUAUAAAAUGGAAGCAAGCAUGCCUAUGCCCCACGCCAUGGACUUUCGCUUACUUAUUGGAAAGGCCAAUGAGUCACGAGUUUGGGGUUGUUUGUCUCAAAGACCUGAGGUUAUAAUGGUGACAAGAUUCCUCUACGGAAGCCAAUGUACCUGAUGCAACCCACCGACCCAGCAAACAAUGUGACCACAUCCUCCAACCAAUUUAGGUCUAGCCAAAACAACACUUGCUGAAACUACAUCCUUAGGGAUGAAAUACGUCCGCGAGAUGAAUAGAUGAAGGAGAUAAUUGAUGCAGCUAGAUGCAGCUAAUGCUUCAAUGAAGAAAUCAAUUGACGUAUUCCAAGAAGAGACUUCCCAAUAAAUUCGAAGGGAAAUUUCCAAUCUGAGGCAAAAUAUUGUAAAAGAUAUUUCGGGAGCUCUUCUGGAGAAGAAGAAGGGUGAUACUAAGCCAGUGGAGGUUGUCAAGGAACCAUUUGCACCUGAUGAUGGAUUAAAGGUCGAUGGUUUUGCGUCUGAAACAGAGACACUGCUGGCUGAGAGCUUUGAUUAUAAGAGCUUGAUCAUGACAUUGCACUAGAUGACCUUUUAAUGUGCAAUUUGAGUUGGUAUCUCGAAGCCCAAAAUUCAUUGAAAAUUACUAUAGAUGUCGAUGAGCAUGUCACACCUCCAAGAAAAAAGAAGAUUUUCCAAGUGGAGUUUAGUCAUUUUGUUACAACCCCUCCGUACAAUAAGUUAGAGAAGAAAUUCAAAACAAGAAAAUGAAAGGUUGUGGGGCCAUUUUCUAUGAGGACUGCACACACUGAAGAAUAAUUUCGGUUGAUCAUGUUUGUCAUGGGAAAGGGGUUGGAUAAGUAGUAAGUAUACUUUGUAGUAUACCCAUUGUUCAUCAAAAUUAACCAUUGUAAUUCAUUUAUAGGCAACGACAUUCUUUGUCUUUCUAUUGACAGCCAUGCUCUUGUAAAAUUUGAUAAUCUUGUAUUGUUUCGCGAUGACUUUUCCACCUUGCUUCCGAAGAUGGAGGUUCAGAUUUCGAUCAUUAGCUGCUAUGCACACGUCCUUACUUUACAGGAACGAAAAAAUGCAGUAGAAGGAGUAGGUACUUAGGAGUUCAUGCCGUGUUGGGUUUUGACAUGAAUCUGGAUGCUCCAUAUUUUAUUAGCAUAUGGGCAACGAAGAACAAUUGGAAUAAAUUGUUUUAUGGAAAUCUCAAUACAAUCGAGCAUAUGCAGAUGGUGGUUCCUGUCAUCUGCAAAACAAGAGGCAAGCACUGGUUCUUGGUAGAUGUUGACCUCUUGGUCAAUGAGGCCUUUAUUUGGGACAAUAUGAGGACUGCCCGAGGUCCUAAACACAAAGAUUGUCAUGCUCUUGCUACUUGUGAAAUGAUAACUGAUUAUAUUACUUAAUGUUCAAUUUUUCUUUGGUUUAUAUUACAUUGCUUAUUGUCAGAGUAUAUUGGUUUUUAAUGUUCAAUUUAUCUUGGGUAUUUUCCUUUGUAUUUCUGUAAGAGAUUUCACGCUUAGUUGAAGUUAUAGGUACUUACCAUUUGUUGAACAAAUUUGAUCUUCCACAUGUUCUAGCCGAAGACAUUAGAUGAUCUCUUUCAAGUGAAUGUGAAAUAGGAGAAAGGUAUAAGUUCACCUUUUUGUCGUUGGGUGUGGAGUAUGUAGAGGCAGUCUCGCAACAAGAAAAUGGCAUGGACUUGUGGUUUUUGUGUUGAAAUUGAUGCAAUAUCUCUCAAACAGACGCCAAGGUGAAUUGAAGGUUGAUGCUGAACAGUUCAGAUUUGACACCAUGAUGAAUCUCAUUCAACAUCAGGGCAACACAUUUCGAUCACAGGUUAUGGAGGAUUCAUAAGAAAAUUAUAGGAUUGAUGUCCAUGUUGAUAGUGUUAGAGAAUAUAUAUUAUAAUCGCUCAAUGGAGAUAUGAAAAAACCAAAAUUACAACUCUAUGCAAAGAUACAAUGGACAAGAUAAUUGAUUAAAUAAAUAUUAUAA